AGUGAACGCUGGCGGUAGGCCUAACACAUGCAAGUCGAACGGCAGCACAGUAAGAGCUUGCUCUUACGGGUGGCGAGUGGCGGACGGGUGAGGAAUACAUCGGAAUCUACUUUUUCGUGGGGGAUAACGUAGGGAAACUUACGCUAAUACCGCAUACGACCUACGGGUGAAAGCAGGGGAUCUUCGGACCUUGCGCGAUUGAAUGAGCCGAUGUCGGAUUAGCUAGUUGGCGGGGUAAAGGCCCACCCAGGCGACGAUCCGUAGCUGGUCUGAGAGGAUGAUCAGCCACACUGGAACUGAGACACGGUCCAGACUCCUACGGGAGGCAGCAGUGGGGAAUAUUGGACAAUGGGCGCAAGCCUGAUCCAGCCAUACUGCGUGGGUGAAGAAGGCCUUCGGGUUGUAAAGCCCUUUUGUUGGGAAAGAAAAGCAGCAGGUUAAUACCCCGCUGUUCUGACGGUACCCAAAGAAUAAGCACCGGCUAACUUCGUG
Molecule: ribosomal RNA, 492 nt
Filed under: uncultured bacterium
Lineage: Bacteria
Description: partial 16S ribosomal RNA
Rfam family: Bacterial small subunit ribosomal RNA
Source: RNAcentral